This 440-nucleotide ribosomal RNA is filed under the name uncultured bacterium. Its description in RNAcentral is "partial 16S ribosomal RNA". It matches the Rfam family "Bacterial small subunit ribosomal RNA", at positions 338 to 795 of the family's 1533-position model. The record is from RNAcentral.
CCUACGGGCGGCAGCAGUGGGGAAUAUUGCUCAAUGGGGGAAACCCUGAAGCAGCAACGCCGCGUGAAGGAAGAAGGGUUUCGGAUUGUAAACUCCUAUUGUUAGGGAAGAUAAUGACGGUAUCUAACGAAUAAGCACCGGCUAACUACGUGCCAGCAGCCGCGGUAAUACGAAGGGUGCAAGCGUUACUCGGAAUCACUGGGCGUAAAGGGAGCGUAGGCGGGAGAGCAAGUCAGAUGUGAAAUCCUAGGGCUUAACCAUGGAACUGCAUUUGAAACUGUUAGUCUAGAGUACAGGAGAGGUAGGUGGAAUUCCUGGUGUAGGGGUAAAAUGCGUAGAUAUCAGGAGGAACACUCGUGGCGAAGGCGACCUGCUAGAACGUAACUGACGCUGAGGCGCGAAAGCGUGGGGAGCAAACAGGAUUAGAUACCCCAGUAGUC